Molecule: ribosomal RNA, 293 nt
Filed under: uncultured bacterium
Lineage: Bacteria
Description: partial 16S ribosomal RNA
Rfam family: Archaeal small subunit ribosomal RNA
Source: RNAcentral
GUGCCAGCCGCCGCGGUAAUACCGGCAGCCCGAGUGAUGGCCGAUCUUAUUGGGCCUAAAGCGUCCGUAGCUGGCCGCGCAAGUCCAUCGGAAAAUCCACCCGCCCAACGGGUGGGCGUCCGGUGGAAACUGCGUGGCUUGGGACCGGAAGGCGCGACGGGUACGUCCGGGGUAGGAGUGAAAUCCCGUAAUCCUGGACGGACCGCCGAUGGCGAAAGCACGUCGCGAAGACGGAUCCGACAGUGAGGGGCGAAAGCUAGGGUCUCGAACCGGAUUAGAUACCCGAGUAGUCC